RNAcentral lists this unclassified non-coding RNA (1208 nucleotides) under Hevea brasiliensis (rubber tree). The record is from RNAcentral. Lineage: Eukaryota; Viridiplantae; Streptophyta; Magnoliopsida; Malpighiales; Euphorbiaceae.
AAAGAAAGGAAGGUAGGUUCCAAGAAGAAGGGACGCUGUGCCUCUUGCCAGGGCACAUAAAACAUUUUUAAAGGAUGAGAUCAAAGCUCAAAAGUUAGCCCCUUCCCAGGACACUGCCUAGUCUUAAUGGCUAUGUCGACCUUAUUGUAUAUAUAUAUAAAUAUAAAUACUUUUUAUAGCUGUAUCCGCAAGCACAAGCGCCUUUCGAUCGCCCCUAUAAAUACCCUUCAUACGUACACAAACCCCAUCGUCAAUUCAAAUUCGGAAACAUUCACUUGUCACCAAGAAAUAAAAGCAAAAGCAACUUCACCUUCUCAUUAUGGCUUCAAUUUCCCAUUUCAACAUUUUUGUUUCACUUCUUGUGCUAUUCUCUAUGCUUCACCCUGCUCUAGCUACAACAAGAAAACUUGCUGCUCUGGUUCAAGAACAACCUCUUCUGCUUUAACACAACGGCCCACUUCUUAAAGGCAAUGUCACCAUUAAUCUAAUUUGGUAUGGCAAGUUCUCUCCGAUCCAGCGCUCCAUAAUCGUUAACUUUCUCAACUCUCUCUAUUGGGUCAAAGCUCCAUCGCCUUCAGUAUCGUCCUGGUGGGAGACUACCGGAAUGUCAGAGGAGGUCCAUGCUCCGUCAUCGUAGGGAAUCAGGUGCUUGAUGAGAAUUACUUUCUUGGAAAAUCACUCAAAAUGCCACAGCUUGUAACGUUGGCCUCCAGAGCUAGCCAAGGUAAAAAUCCAAUCAAUUUCGUUUUUACAUCUGCUGAUGUGGCGAUUGAGGGAUUUUGCACGAGUCGAUGUGGGGCACAUGGAUCGGGUGCGGGCAAUGGCGAGUUCGCCUAUGCUUGGGUAGGUAACUCACUGACUCAGUGCCUCGGUCAGUGCGCAUGGCCUUUCCACCAGCCCAUUUACGGACCGCAAAAUCCCCCUUUGGUCUCUCCCAGUGGCGAUAUUGGAAUUGACGGAAUGAUCAUUAAUUUGGCCACGGUUUUGGCAGGAACGGUGACGAAUCCUUUUAGUAACGGUUACUUUCAGGGGAGUGCCGAAGCCCCUCUGGAGGCAGUGAGCGCGUGCACGGGCAUUUUUGGGAAAGGAGCAUACUCGGGAUAUCCUGGGGAGGUUCUGGUGGACAAAAUCACAGGAGCUGGCUACAACGCAUUUGGUAUGAACGGGCGCAAGUAUCUGCUCCCUGCAAUGUGGGACCCGCAAACCUC